This 254-nucleotide ribosomal RNA is filed under the name uncultured bacterium. RNAcentral's name for it is "partial 16S ribosomal RNA". It matches the Rfam family "Bacterial small subunit ribosomal RNA", at positions 524 to 776 of the family's 1533-position model. The record is from RNAcentral.
UACGAAGGGGGCUAGCGUUGCUCGGAUUGACUGGGCGUAAAGAGCUCGUAGGCGGUGUGUCGCGUCGGCCGUGAAAACCUGCAGCUUAACUGUGGGCUUGCGGUCGAUACGGGCAUCACUGGAGUUCGGCAGGGGAGACUGGAAUUCCUGGUGUAGCGGUGAAAUGCGCAGAUAUCAGGAGGAACACCGGUGGCGAAGGCGGGUCUCUGGGCCGAUACUGACGCUGAGGAGCGAAAGCGUGGGGAGCGAACAGG